AUGUUUCACGUUGCUAGGGACAUUGUCUUCGAUAGGGAAGGGAACAUGCUUGAAGAGAAUUUAAUUGACCCGGUUGACAUGGCUAUGAAAAGGAAGAUAGCUCUCGUUAGAAACAAGCUAGAAGAUCUCAUACGGAAUUCUAAAAGUUCAAUGGAAGGAAUUGAAUUCUUGCACACCAGUUUGUGCAACGCUGAGAUGGCUUUAGCCCAGCUUGUACCAGCUGUAGCAUACAACACACACGAAAAUGAGGAGUCAUUUAUCGGGAGCAACGGAGCAUCAUUCCAAAGCACGUUACCAUCCACACACCUACUGAUAUCAAUGCAAGGGGCACUUGCUCUAUAA
This 342-nucleotide ribosomal RNA is filed under the name Triticum aestivum (bread wheat). RNAcentral describes it as "partial small subunit ribosomal RNA". Lineage: Eukaryota; Viridiplantae; Streptophyta; Magnoliopsida; Poales; Poaceae. The record is from RNAcentral.